Molecule: ribosomal RNA, 506 nt
Filed under: uncultured bacterium
Lineage: Bacteria
Description: partial 16S ribosomal RNA
Rfam family: Bacterial small subunit ribosomal RNA
Source: RNAcentral
GGUGAACGCUGGCGGUAGGCCUAACACAUGCAAGUCGAACGGCAGCACAGGAGAGCUUGCUCUCUGGGUGGCGAGUGGCGGACGGGUGAGGAAUACAUCGGAAUCUACUCUGUCGUGGGGGAUAACGUAGGGAAACUUACGCUAAUACCGCAUACGACCUACGGGUGAAAGCAGGGGACCUUCGGGCCUUGCGCGAUUGAAUGAGCCGAUGUCGGAUUAGCUAGUUGGCGGGGUAAAGGCCCACCAAGGCGACGAUCCGUAGCUGGUCUGAGAGGAUGAUCAGCCACACUGGAACUGAGACACGGUCCAGACUCCUACGCGAGGCAGCAGUGGGGAAUAUUGGACAAUGGGCGCAAGCCUGAUCCAGCCAUACCGCGUGGGUGAAGAAGGCCUUCGGGUUGUAAAGCCCUUUUGUUGGGAAAGAAAUCCAGCUGGCUAAUACCCGGUUGGGAUGACGGUACCCAAAGAAUAAGCACCGGCUAACUUCGUGCCAGCCGCCGCAGUAA